GGCGGGGACAAGAGGAGAGGGGAAGCUCCCGGGUUAGCAGGCGAAGGUAGUGGAAAGGGCUUUAAAGAAAGCCGAGGUGGCGGGAAAGUGGUUUAAAGGCAGCUUCUCAGGGAAGCACCAAUACAAGGCCAGGCAUGAUUAAAAUCCACAUCUUGGAGGGAAAGGCACUUGUGUGGAAUUACGCAGAAGCGCGGCGGAUCCGGGAAGAGCAUCACAUUGUUGGCAUGUUGGUUGGGGCGUUGGCUCGGAAACCUCGGCAGAACGUGCGGCUGGGUCUUCCUCUGCAGUUACUCCCGGAAGAAGCCCGGCUGCUGGUUGAAAAGGGUUUUGCAACUUUGCGUAAAAACCCAGUGUCCGAACCCUGUGGAGAUGAUGCAGGCCAGGACAUCUCGGCCCUGCAGGACGUGGCUGCUUAUCAGAAAGAACAAGAGGAAAGUUAUCAGGAACAGCUUCGGCUUGCUGCUGAACAGAGGAAGACCAUGCUGGAUGCAUUUGCUGAACGUAUAGCUCAAGGCCGGGCAAAAAAGCGGCACGAGAAAGGAGGAGAUGAAAAUCCUCCUGCAAAGCUUGCAGAUUUGGAACCUAGUUUUGUGCUUCCUCAAGAAUCCAUGAUGGUCCAGCUCCCAACGGAACGGGUCCACCCAGGCCGUGAAGAGGAAGUGGACUGGCGCGUGCCCUCUGAGGACUGGCCUUACGCUGGACAACCAGACCAUGAGAUGCGUUACUGCAUUUUCCGGAACCUCUGGGAACAGGGCUUUUACAUCACCAGUGGGAGCAAAUUUGGGGGCGACUUCCUUGUUUAUCCAGGUGACCCAAUGCGGUUCCACGCCCAUUACAUUGCCCUCUGUGUUUCUAAAGAUACACCCCUCGCCCUGAGUGACAUCAUCAGCAUGGGACGCCUGGGCACUAAUGUGAAGAAGACUGUUCUGCUUUGUUCAGUGGACCAGGAUGGGGCUGCAGUCUAUACAUCUUUACAGUGGAGUGGGAUGCAGUGACAACACACUAGCCUCUGCUGGCCGAUGGAGGGAAAAGGAGGAAUGGCAAGGAGCUGCCAGUGUUGGGUGGUACUACUGGUUAUGCUCUCCAUUUCUGGCUCUCAUCAUCAUCACAAUGGAAAUCUCUGGCAUCACCUGGCAGAUUUCUGCUGGCAGAAGAGGCUGGUAGAUAAUCCCAAAUCCCACCAGACAGUGCAUCUUUCACUCCAAAUAAGUAGGACUGCAGGAUGGGCCUUGCCUUUUAAUCACAAAUUAGUCCCAAUGUGUUCCAUACUGUUAACACCCAGGUAAGUACAGUAUGUAUGGGAUUGUUGCAAGCCCAAAUAAAUUAUUUUUUUUUCUCUAUUGUGACUAAUCAGUCUUCCAGUUAAACGGGUUCAUCCCCCAUCUGUCUCUCAAUUAGAACUUCCAGGAGUACCCUGAAUAAUUUAUUUGACUGAUGCUGAUUCCUUUGGCACAGCAACUUUAUGGAAACAAGAUAGGGCAAGGAUGUUGUAAAAAUACGUCCAUUAUGGGAAAAAAAGUUAUUCUAUUUAUUGCAAGCAAGAGCGCAUUUUGGGGUGAGGGUUGAUACAAAUAAGUCUUUCUGUGUAGUGAUUUAAAUCAAUUUGAUUAGAAUCAAAUCCGACAUAGCAUCCAGCUGGCUGCA
Non-coding RNA from Pogona vitticeps (central bearded dragon), 1644 nucleotides. The record is from RefSeq and is a predicted model, not a curated record. Lineage: Eukaryota; Metazoa; Chordata; Lepidosauria; Squamata; Agamidae.